AGAUUGAACGCUGGCGGCAGGCCUAACACAUGCAAGUCGAGCGGUAGAGAGGUGCUUGCACCUCUUGAGAGCGGCGGACGGGUGAGUAAUGCCUAGGAAUCUGCCUAGUGGUGGGGGAUAACGUUCGGAAACGGACGCUAAUACCGCAUACGUCCUACGGGAGAAAGCGGGGGACCUUCGGGCCUCGCGCCAUUAGAUGAGCCUAGGUCGAUUAGCUAGUUGUGAGGUAAUGGCUCACCAAGGCGACGAUCCGUAACUGGUCUGAGAGGAUGAUCAGUCACACUGGAACUGAGACACGGUCCAGACUCCUAGGGAGCAGCAGUGGGGAAUAGUUGGACAAUGGGACGAAAGCCUGAUCCAGCCAUGCCGCGUGUGUGAAGAGGUCUUACGGAUUGUAAAGCUAAC
RNAcentral lists this ribosomal RNA (405 nucleotides) under uncultured soil bacterium. RNAcentral's name for it is "bacterial SSU rRNA". It matches the Rfam family "Bacterial small subunit ribosomal RNA", at positions 26 to 435 of the family's 1533-position model. The record is from RNAcentral.